RNAcentral lists this ribosomal RNA (267 nucleotides) under uncultured bacterium. RNAcentral's name for it is "partial 16S ribosomal RNA". It matches the Rfam family "Bacterial small subunit ribosomal RNA", at positions 29 to 289 of the family's 1533-position model. The record is from RNAcentral.
AUGAACGCUGGCGGCGUGCCUAACACAUGCAAGUCGAGCGGAGGUGUGGAGUAGUUUACUAUGAAGCAUCUUAGCGGCGGACGGGUGAGUAACGCGUGGGCAACCUGCCCUAUGCAGGGGGAUAACAUAUCGAAAGGUGUGCUAAAACCGCAUAAAGCUUAAGAAUCGCAUGAUUUCUAAGCCAAAGAUUAAUUGCUUCCGGAUGGGCCCGCGUCCCAUUAGCUAGUUGGUGAGGUAACGGCUCACCAAGGCGACGAUGGGUAGCUG